RNAcentral lists this transfer RNA (72 nucleotides) under Pseudomonadota bacterium. RNAcentral's name for it is "tRNA-Thr". It matches the Rfam family "tRNA". Rfam says of the family: Transfer RNA (tRNA) molecules are approximately 80 nucleotides in length. Their secondary structure includes four short double-helical elements and three loops (D, anti-codon, and T loops). Lineage: Bacteria; Pseudomonadati; Pseudomonadota. The record is from RNAcentral. RNAcentral also lists the same sequence under 1 other name.
GCCCGCGUAGUUCAGUGGUAGAACAACCCAUUCGUAAUGGGUAGGUCGUCGGUUCAAAUCCGACCGCGGGCU